UAGGGUUGGUAUCUCUGGUGUUUUCCAUCUGGCAGCUACCAACAUUCUGGCUGCAGCUGUCAAGUAAAAGAAUAAUCUCAAUAAAUUAGGGGAAAGCUGUAGUUCUGAAAGUACCGGGCUUAACAAAUAGGUCCACCAAGAAUGAGUAUAGGAGCCGAUCCCUUCACCACAUUUCCAACAGGUGAUCCAUCUUCUCGGGAGGUAUUAUUGGCAAUUUACAUUCAUCUAGUCAUCCAUCUACCCGACUUAUUUGCAGUGGCAAAUUCCUUUUGUCUAGCCAAUGUAAGUUUUUUUAUCAUUUCUCUAUUUCUUAUUUGGUCUAAUUGUCCUUUAACUAUCUGUAUUUUUUUUAUAUUAUUUGUUUUUUCCUUGUAAUAGUCAGUUCCUUCUCCAACUCAGUUAAUUUAUCUAUUAAUCUCU
This is a long non-coding RNA of Sphaerodactylus townsendi, 420 nucleotides long. RefSeq lists it as uncharacterized. The record is from RefSeq and is a predicted model, not a curated record. The transcript is spliced from 4 exons. Lineage: Eukaryota; Metazoa; Chordata; Lepidosauria; Squamata; Sphaerodactylidae.